RNAcentral lists this transfer RNA (70 nucleotides) under Ovis aries (sheep). It matches the Rfam family "tRNA". From Rfam's summary of the family: Transfer RNA (tRNA) molecules are approximately 80 nucleotides in length. Their secondary structure includes four short double-helical elements and three loops (D, anti-codon, and T loops). Lineage: Eukaryota; Metazoa; Chordata; Mammalia; Artiodactyla; Bovidae. The record is from Rfam by way of RNAcentral.
UCCUUGGUAGUCUAGUGGUUAAGACUCUGCGCUGCCACUGGGGGUACAGGUUCGAUCCCUGGUUGAGGAA